UUGAUUGGUGCUUGCAUCAUGAUUUACAUUUGAGUGAGUGGCGAACUGGUGAGUAACACGUGGGAAACUGCCCAGAAGCGGGGGAUAACACCUGGAAACAGAUGCUAAUACCGCAUAACAACUUGGACCGCAUGGUCCGAGCUUGAAAGAUGGCUUCGGCUAUCACUUUUGGAUGGUCCCGCGGCGUAUUAGCUAGAUGGUGGGGUAACGGCUCACCAUGGCAAUGAUACGUAGCCGACCUGAGAGGGUAAUCGGCCACAUUGGGACUGAGACACGGCCCAAACUCCUACGGGAGGCAGCAGUAGGGAAUCUUCCACAAUGGACGAAAGUCUGAUGGAGCAACGCCGCGUGAGUGAAGAAGGGUUUCGGCUCGUAAAACUCUGUUGUUAAAGAAGAACAUAUCUGAGAGUAACUGUUCAGGUAUUGACGGUAUUUAACCAGAAAGCCACGGCUAACUACGUGCCAGCAGCCGCGGUAAUACGUAGGUGGCAAGCGUUGUCCGGAUUUAUUGGGCGUAAAGCGAGCGCAGGCGGUUUUUUAAGUCUGAUGUGAAAGCCUUCGGCUCAACCGAAGAAGUGCAUCGGAAACUGGGAAACUUGAGUGCAGAAGAGGACAGUGGAACUCCAUGUGUAGCGGUGAAAUGCGUAGAUAUAUGGAAGAACACCAGUGGCGAAGGCGGCUGUCUGGUCUGUAACUGACGCUGAGGCUCGAAAGUAUGGGUAGCAAACA
RNAcentral lists this ribosomal RNA (729 nucleotides) under Lactiplantibacillus plantarum. RNAcentral describes it as "bacterial SSU rRNA". It matches the Rfam family "Bacterial small subunit ribosomal RNA", at positions 69 to 774 of the family's 1533-position model. Lineage: Bacteria; Bacillati; Bacillota; Bacilli; Lactobacillales; Lactobacillaceae. The record is from RNAcentral.